UAAGGAAUAUUGGUCAAUGGACGCAAGUCUGAACCAGCCAUGCCGCGUGAAGGAUGAAGGUCCUCUGGAUUGUAAACUUCUUUUAUCUGGGACGAAAACGGGAUUUUUAUCUCAAUUGACGGUACCAGAGGAAUAAGCACCGGCUAACUCCGUGCCAGCAGCCGCGGUAAUACGGAGGGUGCGAGCGUUAUCCGGAUUUACUGGGUUUAAAGGGUGCGUAGGUGGGCUUAUAAGUCAGUGGUGAAAUCUCCGAGCUUAACUUGGAAACUGCCGUUGAUACUAUAGGUCUUGAAUUAUCUGGAGGUAAGCGGAAUAUGUCAUGUAGCGGUGAAAUGCUUAGAUAUGACAUAGAACACCAAUUGCGAAGGCAGUUUACUACAUAUAAAUUGACGCUGAGGCACGAAAGCGUGGGGAUCAAACA
RNAcentral lists this ribosomal RNA (421 nucleotides) under uncultured bacterium. Its description in RNAcentral is "bacterial SSU rRNA". It matches the Rfam family "Bacterial small subunit ribosomal RNA", at positions 355 to 774 of the family's 1533-position model. The record is from RNAcentral.